AGGGUUCAGAACGAAGCAAGGAAUGGCUCCGAGAACCAGUCACCAUCACGAUUUUCUUGGAAGCAUUUAAGCUCAUCCGUAACUGAACGCUCAUUCGUGUCUUGCCUACAACCCCAAAUUGACUAAGCACCUCGAGCAAAGAGAUGCUGUUCUUCUGCUCACCACGGUCUUCAAUAAAUGAAGAAAAUUCAAUAAAUGCUUGAAGAAUGACUAAGUGAAGCCGCCUGCACCUUAUGUGAGCUGUGGGAACAUGCCACAAGUAGAGGCUCUACAUCUGACGCCAAGAGGUUGUUUCCACGCUUGUUAGAGAAAGAACAGGAAGCAAGAAAAGAUGGAACUGACGACCUAGCAACUGGAUGCUGUGGAGUCGAAUGUCCAGGGCUGUUAAAGAUCUUAAAUUGACUCCGAGUAGAUGGUGGGAGCUAUUUGUUGCCCAAAGACAUUCUGAAGCAGCUAGUCCCUUUCUUGAGUUGAGAACGAUUUCUUCCCACUGGGACCCCCUCCAGCGGAAAGAGAUGAACAAUUCUAAAAGUCAUUACAGUUUCCAGAUCCGUCUGAUGGAAGUCCUGGAUGUGAAACUGGUAAGGAUCUCAAAGUCCUGAGGUCUAUGCUAACAAAACUGCCUGGGUAGGCAGGAUACCCAUGACUCCAGUGUGGGAGAGCAACACUUGAGCUGAUCUCCACAUCAACUGCAGUUGAGACCUUCUUCAGAUCAACACUGGGGCAGAGGGAGUUGCCUUGAAACCAUCCUCUACCACUUCCUGGCAAUGGGACCUGAAGUGAAGUGCCUGGCCUCCUAAGUCCUGAUUUCCUCAUCUAAUAAUGAGGAGAAGAAUUCAGCAUUAUUCAACACUCAAUUUCAUUACUUAACUUUGGAAAAACCAAAAAGCCGGGAUAGCCAAAAAAAAAUCCUGUACAAUAAAGGAACUUCUGGAGGCAUCACUAUCCCUGAC
Long non-coding RNA from Myodes glareolus (Bank vole), 953 nucleotides. RefSeq lists it as uncharacterized. The record is from RefSeq and is a predicted model, not a curated record. Lineage: Eukaryota; Metazoa; Chordata; Mammalia; Rodentia; Cricetidae.